ACACCCCCCCCCCCCCCCCCCCAAUUCUUCAUCAGACUUUUGUUAAAAAGCUUGCAACUUUCACAUAAUACAACAAGAUUCGUAAAUGAUGGAAGAGAAAGAGAAAUUAGAUAGUUACAAAGUUGGAUCUUUGCCUACUGUAAUAUAUAUACCUGAUUUCAUCACAGAUAGUGAACAAAGCUUUCUUCUUAACAAUAUAUAUGGAGCCCCUGCAUCAAAGUGGAAGUUGUUGAAGAAUAGGAGGUUACAGAAUUGGGGUGGCGUUGUCCAUGAGAAGGGCCUUCUACCUCAACCAUUGCCUCCAUGGUUAACAAAUCUUACACAAAAGAUAUCAGAAGAAUCAAGACUAUUUCCGUCAGCAAUCAAUCAUGUUCUCAUCAAUGAGUACUUACCUAACCAAGGCAUAAUGCCACAUCAAGAUGGUCCAGCUUACUUUCCAGUUGUAGCUAUUCUUUCACUCGGAUCGCCUGUCGUCAUGGACUUUACACCUCAUUCUAGAUUUAAACUAGAUCCGCAAGAUGUUAAUGGCAAAGAUUCUGAUGGAGGAGAAGAUAAAAGGCUUGAUGAUGAUUACCUCCCAUUCUCUGUUCUGUUGAUGCCUCGCAGUCUACUGAUAUUCAAGGAUAAGGCAUACUCAGAUUAUUUGCAUGGUAUUAAAGAUUGUGCGGUACAAUGCUAUGAUGGGGCUGUAAAUGAAAUGGAAGCUUUGAAACACAAUGAAUCAGAUAGACCCUAUUUUGGCUCAGAGGAAUCAGUGGAAACAAUGGGGAAGGAAGAGAGAUUGGACUUUGGGGAAAAGCAGAAAUUGCCACACGUGUAUCAACCAACUGAAACUGACGUGUGAUUUUCCGCCGAAAAAAAGACAGAACUGGUGUUUACUUUGACAUGAAAGUGACACGUGGAGGAACUGUGGGAAGAGAAGUUGGAAUUCUUGGAGUCUUAAUUAAAGUGGUAUUGGUCAGAAGGACUUACACUGAAAGCCGGAAACUUUGUACAUUGGGGAUUUUCUUCUAGAUUAGAAUAGAUAUUUACAGAGAAGUUUUGUUAAGAAUUGAGGUUGACAAGAUUUCUGAAAGUUGUGGACUUGAUCUUUUAAAUUUCAGUCGAUGUUUGAACUGAACCCUGUUAUGUGCCAAUAUCCCAUUUAUUUUUUACUCCUAUCCACAUAUUUAAAUUACAUUACUGUCCUCCAGUGCUGACAUCUCUAAGUUGUUUCUGCAUUCAAAACUGUUAAAUGGAUGAACAGAAUAAAGUGGUUAAUAAGAAACAGUCAUAAUAUUUUCAAAAUAAGUGAGUUGAAAUGGUUGAGAUACGUGAGGGCACUGUAUGGACUUUAUAUAAGGUCAUUAAAGAUUGGAUUAUUUUUAUACCUUUUUUAUGGGACAAAUUUGGCCUAAUUGUGAAUUAAUUUUUUUUCGUUGACAGUCCAAAGGCAAAGUGUACCAUCUGUCCACUAAUCAAUCAGCCUGUUUGAUUUCUGUCUGUCAAAUCCAAUUGAGCAUGUUGAUUUUGAUUUUAUUGAUUUCGGAACCUCAAUAGAGAUAUAGGUUUGAUGUCUUAAAUUUUUUGU
RNA transcript from Arachis stenosperma, 1570 nucleotides. RefSeq lists it as uncharacterized. The transcript is spliced from 10 exons. Lineage: Eukaryota; Viridiplantae; Streptophyta; Magnoliopsida; Fabales; Fabaceae. The record is from RefSeq and is a predicted model, not a curated record.